UACAGAGGGUGCGAGCGUUAAUCGGAAUUACUGGGCGUAAAGCGCACGUAGUCGGCUUUGCAAGUCGGGUGUGAAAUCCCCGGGCUCAACCUGGGAACUGCAUCCGAGACUGCAUUGCUAGAGUAUGGGAGAGGGAAGCGGAAUUUCUGGUGUAGCAGUGAAAUGCGUAGAUAUCAGGAAGAACACCAAUGGCGAAGGCAGCUCUCUGGGACGGUACUGACGCUGAGACGCGAAAGCGUGGGGAGCGAACAGG
This 253-nucleotide ribosomal RNA is filed under the name uncultured bacterium. Its description in RNAcentral is "partial 16S ribosomal RNA". It matches the Rfam family "Bacterial small subunit ribosomal RNA", at positions 524 to 776 of the family's 1533-position model. The record is from RNAcentral.